RNAcentral lists this ribosomal RNA (467 nucleotides) under uncultured bacterium. RNAcentral's name for it is "partial 16S ribosomal RNA". It matches the Rfam family "Bacterial small subunit ribosomal RNA", at positions 28 to 523 of the family's 1533-position model. The record is from RNAcentral.
GACGAACGCUGGCGGCGUGCUUAACACAUGCAAGUCGAGCGAGAAACUUCGGUUUCUAGCGGCGGACGGGUGAGUAACACGUGGGCAACCUGCCUCACAAUGGGGGAUAGCCUUCCGAAAGGAAGAUUAAUACCGCAUAACACAAAGGAAACGCAUGUUUCUUUUGCCAAAGAAUUUCGUUGUGAGAUGGGCGGGGGGCGCAUUAGCUGGUGGGUGAGGUAACGGCUCACCAAGGCGACGAUGCGUAGCCGACCUGAGAGGGUGAUCGGCCACAUUGGAACUGAGACACGGUCCAGACUCCUACGGGAGGCAGCAGUGGGGAAUAUUGCACAAUGGAGGAAACUCUGAUGCAGCAACGCCGCGUGAGUGAUGAAGGUCUUCGGAUUGUAAAGCUCUGUCUUCUGGGACGAUAAUGACGGUACCAGAGGAGGAAGCCACGGCUAACUACGUGCCAGCAGCCGCCGCGG